UACGGGGGGGGCAAGCGUUGUUCGGAAUUACUGGGCGUAAAGGGCUCGUAGGCGGCCAAUUAAGUCAGACGUGAAAUCCCUCGGCUUAACCGGGGAACUGCGUCUGAUACUGGAUGGCUUGAAUCCGGGAGAGGGAUGCGGAAUUCCAGGUGUAGCGGUGAAAUGCGUAGAUAUCAGGAGGAACACCAAUUGCGAAGGCAGCUCGCUGGGACGUUACUGACGCUGAGACGCGAAAGCGUGGGGAGCAAACAGG
This 253-nucleotide ribosomal RNA is filed under the name uncultured bacterium. RNAcentral describes it as "partial 16S ribosomal RNA". It matches the Rfam family "Bacterial small subunit ribosomal RNA", at positions 524 to 776 of the family's 1533-position model. The record is from RNAcentral.